GCGACACGAGCGCGAGGCGGCGCUGUGGAGACUGAAGAAUGGAAGGGAAAGCGGAGGUUGGAGUUGAGCGUCGCCCCGUCCGCCUCAGCUCGUCCGUUCGAGCAGCGGGGCUCCCUGGUGGAGACAGACUGACCCCUCUCAGAGAAUAUUGGAGGACUGGCCCAUGGUCAAAUACAAAAAAAGGGGAGGAGGAAGCCACCUAAAGGACUUCGCUUUUCCAAUUUGCACCUUAAGCAGGAUCGCUCUGGCUCCUG
Long non-coding RNA from Eptesicus fuscus (big brown bat), 254 nucleotides. RefSeq lists it as uncharacterized. The record is from RefSeq and is a predicted model, not a curated record. The transcript is spliced from 3 exons. NCBI's taxonomy places the organism in Eukaryota, Metazoa, Chordata, Mammalia, Chiroptera, Vespertilionidae.